This 548-nucleotide ribosomal RNA is filed under the name Russula cf. gracilis UBC F28485. RNAcentral describes it as "eukaryotic LSU rRNA". The stretch from base 24 to 177 matches the Rfam family "5.8S ribosomal RNA". Lineage: Eukaryota; Fungi; Basidiomycota; Agaricomycetes; Russulales; Russulaceae. The record is from RNAcentral.
CUGCGAUAACACGCAAUUAAUACAACUUUCAACAACGGAUCUCUUGGCUCUCGCAUCGAUGAAGAACGCAGCGAAAUGCGAUACGUAAUGUGAAUUGCAGAAUUCAGUGAAUCAUCGAAUCUUUGAACGCACCUUGCGCCCCUUGGCAUUCCGAGGGGCACACCCGUUUGAGUGUCGUGAAAUUAUCAAAAACCUUUCUUUCNAAAGGGUUUUGGACUUGGAGGCUUUUUGCUGGCUUUUAAGCGAGCUCCUCCCAAAUAAAUUAGUGGGGUCCGCUUUGCCGAUCCUUGACGUGAUAAGAUGUUUUCUACGUCUCGGGUUUGGCGAUGCCUCUUGGGCACCUGCUUCUAACCGUCCGAUGGACAAUGAUGGCGUCCCGGUCACCACCGUUUUAUCGGUUGGGAGGCUUGGCCCACCAAAAAAACCUUGACCUCAAAUCGGGUGAGACUACCCGCUGAACUUAAGCAUAUCAAUAAGCGGAGGAAAAGAAACUAACAAGGAUUCCCCUAGUAACUGCGAGUGAAGCGGGAAAAGCUCAAAUUUAAAAU